GACGAACGCUGGCGGCGUGCUUAGCACAUGCAAGUCGAACGGAAAGGCCCUGCUUUUGUGGGGUGCUCGAGUGGCGAACGGGUGAGUAACACGUGAGUAACCUGCCCUUGACUUUGGGAUAACUUCAGGAAGCUGGGGCUAAUACCGGAUAGGAGCUCCUGCUGCAUGGUGGGGGUUGGAAAGUUUCGGCGGUUGGGGAUGGACUCGCGGCUUAUCAGCUUGUUGGUGGGGUAGUGGCUUACCAAGGCUUUGACGGGUAGCCGGCCUGAGAGGGUGACCGGCAACAUUGGGACUGAGAUACGGCCCAGACUCCUACGGGAGGCAGCAGUGGGGAAUAUUGCACAAUGGGCGGAAGCCUGAUGCAGCAACGCCGCGUGCGGGAUGACGGCCUUCGGGUUGUAAACUGCUUUCGCCUGUGACGAAGCGUGAGUGACGGUAAUGGGUAAAGAAGCACCGGCUAACUACGUG
This 468-nucleotide ribosomal RNA is filed under the name uncultured bacterium. RNAcentral describes it as "partial 16S ribosomal RNA". It matches the Rfam family "Bacterial small subunit ribosomal RNA", at positions 28 to 507 of the family's 1533-position model. The record is from RNAcentral.